Cuculus canorus (common cuckoo) is the source of this 505-nucleotide long non-coding RNA. RefSeq lists it as uncharacterized. NCBI's taxonomy places the organism in Eukaryota, Metazoa, Chordata, Aves, Cuculiformes, Cuculidae. The record is from RefSeq and is a predicted model, not a curated record. The transcript has 3 exons.
CUUGUCUUUACUUAGAGUUUUAUUUUUCAUAUCAGAGGGCAAGGACUGACUGGAAGGAUCCCUCAUCUUUGUUCUCUAUGAAGCAUCAUGUCCAACUUUACAGAGCCUUGAAGCUGAAAAAAAACUACAUUUCAAAGAGAAGAAGCCUCCUUUCUCUGCUCAUGCUGGCUUUGUUCCUCGGUGGAUUUAGGGGAGAUGCUGAUGGAGUUACUGCCCGAAGGUGGCGCUGAGAAACCUCCUGAAGAAGGCACAAGCUUGAGACCUGGCAAGAACUCUGCCUGACAUCACCUGGGUCUGGCUAGGAGGACACUUUCUGACUUCCAAGAAAAACAAAUGGAAAUGCAAAAUGCUUGCAUCUGGCCUGUUACCUCAUUGUCGGCCACCAGGGCUGCUUGAGAGUCGUCAUGGCAUUCCCAGUUCCUUUUUGCUUGCUACAUAAUAAAUUAAAAGGACUGCUGAGAAAAAGCACAUUUACUGAAAGCAGGUGACACCACUCGAAGAGGAC